Long non-coding RNA from Oryzias latipes (Japanese medaka), 497 nucleotides. RefSeq lists it as uncharacterized. The record is from RefSeq and is a predicted model, not a curated record. Lineage: Eukaryota; Metazoa; Chordata; Actinopteri; Beloniformes; Adrianichthyidae.
UUAGGGCAUUCAUGCCUUUCUACAAGAAAGUUCAUGCUAAGUCUGGAUCGAAACCUUGUGCAGGCCAACAAUGCUUCCCACAUUUCUCUGCUAUGCGUGAUCUUCACAAACUACUAGAGCUUCAACAUCCACUAUCCAUCCACCGGAGCUGGCAUCAACUUUGGAGUUUCUACAGAGAUGCUUUUUCUCCAUCAACCCAGAGAGAGACAGACCAGAGUGGACAAGAAGGGCAAAUCUCGUCUCAUCUUGAACCCAAGAGUCCUAACCUUGAUUCAGGAACGGUCAGAUUUUGAGUGGAGAGGCGUGUAAACACUGUAAGCAACAUUGCAAGCAUAGUUUUAAGGUUUUUUGUUCUUUGUUAAUCUCUUGCAAAAAAAAAGUGAUUACAUAGUUUUCUGUUUUAGGUGCAAUGUUUUUUAAUAAUGUUUUAUUAUCUACAAAUGAUAAACAUUUGCUGUGUUUAGAGGCGAAAGGUUGAGUAAAAUAAAUGAAUGUAA